Molecule: unclassified non-coding RNA, 457 nt
Filed under: Hevea brasiliensis (rubber tree)
Lineage: Eukaryota; Viridiplantae; Streptophyta; Magnoliopsida; Malpighiales; Euphorbiaceae
Source: RNAcentral
AACCGUACGUUCGAGCCAGUGGGACAGAGUGACGGAGCUGACGAAAUUGGCUCAGGAAAGAAAUACCGAUCCAUUGGUAUGGGCCAUGGAGCUUUCCUCCAGUCUUAACUCCGCCGGCAUCUCUAUGCCGUCGACCGACGUUGCCGAACUUCUCGUAUCUCAUAUUUGUUGGUCCAAUAAUGUUCCUAAUGCUUGGAAGCUUCUAGAGAAAGCUUUGGUGUUUAGAAUUGUCCCUCCUUUGUUCGUUCUCGCCCUUCUCUCUACAAGAGUAAUUCCUGCUCGAAGGAGCUAUCCGAUGGCAUACAGGCUGUAUAUGGAACUUCUAAAAAGAUAUGCUUUUUCAUUACCAUCUCUAAUUAAUGGUCCAAAUUAUCAAAAGAUCAUGGAAGCUAUAAAUGAUACAUUACAUGUUUCCCAGAUAUUUGAACUUCAGGGGUCUGAAAGUGGUCUAAUUGUG